CAGCCGCCACGGUAAUACGCAGGGUGCAAGCGUUAAUCGGAAUUACUGGGCGUAAAGCGUGCGUAGGCGGUUUGUUAAGUCUGUUGUGAAAGCCCUGGGCUCAACCUGGGAAUUGCAGUGGAUACUGGGUCACUAGAGUGUGGUAGAGGAUAGUGGAAUUUCCGGUGUAGCAGUGAAAUGCGUAGAGAUCGGAAGGAACAUCUGUGGCGAAGGCGACUAUCUGGGCCAACACUGACACUGAGGCACGAAAGCGUGGGGAGCAAACAGGAUUAGAUACCCCGGUAGUCCCUGUCUCUUAUAC
This 301-nucleotide ribosomal RNA is filed under the name uncultured bacterium. RNAcentral's name for it is "partial 16S ribosomal RNA". It matches the Rfam family "Bacterial small subunit ribosomal RNA", at positions 509 to 807 of the family's 1533-position model. The record is from RNAcentral.